AGAAUGUUUUGGCUAUUCAGAACCUUUGUGGUUCAAGAAAAGUUUUAGGAUUUUUUAAAUAUCUGUGAGAAAAUGCUAUUGGGAUUUUGAUAGUUAUUGUACUGGAUCUUACUUCAGUCUUGACUUACAUAGGCUGGAAGUAAAAGGAUGGAAAAAAGAGUCUCCACACAAAGUUUCUGUAGGUCAGACAUCCAGCAAGGAGUUUCUGGGUUCUUUGCUCUGGGUUUUAGGAGAGUGAAUUCGAGAUGUGAGCCAGACCAAGUUCUAAUUUGUAAACUCUGAAGAAAAGUUAUUGUCCAAGGUAUUUUGUGGUGAAGAUGAACUCUAGAAUCAGGUACUGCAAUUUGAAUGCUGGCUCCACAACUGAUAAGGUACAUGCCCUGGGACAAACCACACCACCUCUCAGAGCCUGUCACAAGGCAGUCAGGACAUUUUAGGAGCAAACGCCUAUGAAGCUCGUAAAAAGGGCUUGGCUUAUGAAUUUGAAGAAAGAACAAAACGCACAAAGUAACAAUAAAAAAAAUCAAUGAAAGACAAAGCAACAGAAGAACAGAGUAAUAAAGCACAGAUCCACCGAACACAAUUCACAGAGCAGGAAUAAGCUACCCAGUUGUGUACCACCAAUCAUUGGAGUUGAGUUUUGCAACAUCUGAUCUUCUUUCAGUACCCAGUAAUUAUAUCAAGCAUUGCAUAACCCUGAGACUGAUGAAGUGCACCUACACAGGACUGAGGUCUUCGGCCAUUAUUCAGGCAAGGCUGUGACCAGAAUUGACCCAUCUUUAUGGAUAGGAGUCUACACCUGAAAAGUAGCAUUUGAGCUUCCAGAAAGUCUAAGGUGGCAUUCACUGACUCAUAUGUCAUCCUGUGCUCCUGUGUGCCCUCUCCAGAGGCUCCAAGAGUCCUGACACUUACACCUUCUCUUACUCAAAGAAGGUUGCUGAUUUGAUUAUGCUGACAUUCUUCUACAUCUUACAGAUAAAUAAAUCAUCUUGGAUUUUCUAAAA
Long non-coding RNA from Homo sapiens (human), 1004 nucleotides. Ensembl annotates it as long intergenic non-protein coding RNA 558. Lineage: Eukaryota; Metazoa; Chordata; Mammalia; Primates; Hominidae. The record is from Ensembl.